GACAUUCUGGUUCAUUCGCUAAUGUGUUAUUAAAUUUGAACCGAUACAAUUAAAUAGGUGAUAUUCCACUAUCAUUGUUGAGCAGUACCUUUACAGGGAAGCCUGAUUUGAUAAGAAAUUCACCACCUGACCUUUCGGUUCAGGUAAAACACAUGGCGGUGAUUUGGUUUGUUA
Molecule: non-coding RNA, 174 nt
Filed under: Gammaproteobacteria bacterium
Lineage: Bacteria; Pseudomonadati; Pseudomonadota; Gammaproteobacteria
Description: 6S RNA
Rfam family: 6S / SsrS RNA
About the family: E. coli 6S RNA was the first non coding RNA to be sequenced, but its function was unknown until recently. It consists of 184 nucleotides that fold into an extended hairpin structure with a large single-stranded internal bulge.
Source: RNAcentral